This 246-nucleotide ribosomal RNA is filed under the name uncultured Lactobacillus sp. RNAcentral's name for it is "partial 16S ribosomal RNA". It matches the Rfam family "Bacterial small subunit ribosomal RNA", at positions 116 to 354 of the family's 1533-position model. The record is from RNAcentral. Lineage: Bacteria; Bacillati; Bacillota; Bacilli; Lactobacillales; Lactobacillaceae.
CGUGGGUAACCUGCCCAAGAGAUCGGGAUAACACCUGGAAACAGAUGCUAAUACCGGAUAACAACAGAUGAUGCCUAUCAACUGUUUAAAAGAUGGUUCUGCUAUCACUUUUGGAUGGACCUGCGGUGCAUUAGCUAGUUGGUAGGGUAACGGCCUACCAAGGCGAUGAUGCAUAGCCGAGUUGAGAGACUGAUCGGCCACAUUGGGACUGAGACACGGCCCAAACUCCUACGGGAGGCAGCAGAC